This 34-nucleotide transfer RNA is filed under the name Cafeteria roenbergensis. Its description in RNAcentral is "partial Selenocysteine transfer RNA". Lineage: Eukaryota; Bigyra; Bicosoecida; Cafeteriaceae. The record is from RNAcentral.
GUGACCGAGGGAGCCCCCACCUUCGCCUCGCCGG